This 704-nucleotide non-coding RNA is filed under the name Oryza sativa Japonica Group (Japanese rice). Lineage: Eukaryota; Viridiplantae; Streptophyta; Magnoliopsida; Poales; Poaceae. The record is from RNAcentral.
UCCUAGAAGAACCAGAAGAAGUGCAUCAUCCAUGUAAAAAGAUACUGGUAUUACCUGGCUUUGAAAUGUCUCAGGAUACAUGCAUGGUGCAGAGAUCGAACUGCAGAUUCAGUGAUUCACCAUAGCUGUUGUGCCCAACAAUGGGAAGAAGUGAGGCUGCCGCAGCAUGACCUAGCAAGGCAUGACCACAAGACUAGCAACAGCUCAAGAUCCACAGGAAGGCAGUGUGGGAGCACAUCUUGUUGAUCAUUCAGAGCUAGAUCAUGCUGGCAGCUUCACUCGUUCCCUUGGACAGUUCAGUUCAGACAUCCAACCAAUCUUGCAUAAAAUACUACCUAUGACUGACUAAUCUAGCUAGGAGAAAAAUGGUGGAAGAGGCCAUGAUUCGAAUCAGCAAGUCCCGAGCCAAAUCAAACGAAAGGCAAACCGAUCGAUGGACAGCAAGAAACAAAUCCUACACACGCUCCAAUCUUGUGAGAUCUUCCAUGAGCUAGUAAUUGGUCUGAUCUGUAACAAGAUCAGCUAAUCAACCAUGGAUUGGCGUAGCUACUGGAUAGCUAAGCAGCUCAAGAAUGGAGGAGGAGAGUGAAGAAGAAACUUUGAGCAAGAGAAAGGGAGUGGAAGAGCUUUCUAGCUACCACAAGUAAUAUGCUACAACCACUACUACCACAAGUGCUACUACUACUACUACUAGUACAAAAGGG